This 899-nucleotide ribosomal RNA is filed under the name Cladosporium variabile. RNAcentral describes it as "LSU rRNA". It matches the Rfam family "Eukaryotic large subunit ribosomal RNA", at positions 38 to 967 of the family's 3401-position model. The record is from RNAcentral. Lineage: Eukaryota; Fungi; Ascomycota; Dothideomycetes; Cladosporiales; Cladosporiaceae.
GCAUAUCAAUAAGCGGAGGAAAAGAAACCACAGGGAUGCUCUAGUAACGGCGAGUGAAGCAGCAAUAGCUCAAUUUGAAAUCUGGCGUCUUCGACGUCCGAGUUGUAAUUUGUAGAGGAUGCUUCUGAGUGGCCACCGACCUAAGUUCCUUGGAACAGGACGUCAUAGAGGGUGAGAAUCCCGUAUGCGGUCGGAAAGGCGCUCUAUACGUAGCUCCUUCGACGAGUCGAGUUGUUUGGGAAUGCAGCUCUAAAUGGGAGGUAAAUUUCUUCUAAAGCUAAAUAUUGGCCAGAGACCGAUAGCGCACAAGUAGAGUGAUCGAAAGAUGAAAAGCACUUUGGAAAGAGAGUUAAAAAGCACGUGAAAUUGUUAAAAGGGAAGGGAUUGCAACCAGACUUGCUCGCGGUGUUCCGCCGGUCUUCUGACCGGUCUACUCGCCGCGUUGCAGGCCAGCAUCGUCUGGUGCCGCUGGAUAAGACUUGAGGAAUGUAGCUCCUCGGGAGUGUUAUAGCCUCUUGUGAUGCAGCGAGCGCCGGGCGAGGUCCGCGCUUCGGCUAGGAUGCUGGCGUAAUGGUCGUAAUCCGCCCGUCUUGAAACACGGACCAAGGAGUCUAACAUCUAUGCGAGUGUUCGGGUGUCAAACCCCUACGCGUAAUGAAAGUGAACGGAGGUGAGAACCGCAAGGUGCAUCAUCGACCGAUCCUGAUGUCUUCGGAUGGAUUUGAGUAAGAGCAUAGCUGUUGGGACCCGAAAGAUGGUGAACUAUGCCUGAAUAGGGUGAAGCCAGAGGAAACUCUGGUGGAGGCUCGCAGCGGUUCUGACGUGCAAAUCGAUCGUCAAAUUUGGGUAUAGGGGCGAAAGACUAAUCGAACCAUCUAGUAGCUGGUUCCUGCCGAAGU